UGGCUCUCGCAUCGCUGAAGAACGCAGCGAAAUGCGAUAAGUAAUGUGAAUUGCAGAAUUCAGUGAAUCAUCGAAUCUUUGAACGCACCUUGCGCCCUUUGGUAUUCCGAAGGGCACACCUGUUUGAGUGUCGUGAAAUUCUCAACCCUCUUCACUUUUGUGAAGGCAAGGGCUUGGACUUGGAGGCUUUGCCGGGCUCUUUUUGCUCGGCUCCUCUCAAAUGCAUUAGUGCGUCUCGUUGCGAUGUGCGCCUCGGUGUGAUAGUUAUCUACGCUGCGUGUGUGCUCGCUUCUUGUGGGACGUGCUUCAAACCGUCCGAUUAAAGGACAAUCAUCUCGAAACUUGACCUCAAAUCAGGUGGGACUACCCGCUGA
RNAcentral lists this unclassified non-coding RNA (374 nucleotides) under uncultured fungus. Its description in RNAcentral is "partial contains 5.8S ribosomal RNA and internal transcribed spacer 2". The stretch from base 1 to 133 matches the Rfam family "5.8S ribosomal RNA", at positions 22 to 154 of the family's 154-position model. The record is from RNAcentral. Lineage: Eukaryota; Fungi.